GAGAGGAGAAAGAUUGGGAUUCAACACACAUCGAUUAUGCUCAGAGGCUGGGUUUAAGUACAGGUUGCUGUCAUCAGCCGAGCCAAGAUCGUGGGUAUGCCACUACCUCAGGACGUGCACCACUAGCUAUACAACUGUUGCACGAUCCGUAGUAUACCGUAUGGCGAGCUAUACAAGGUGCAUACGGUAUAGAACUACCUAGUCUAACACCCCCCGCAGUCGUGACGUCGGUACCAGCGACGCAAAGACUGGACCGGAAUUCAGAGAAAACUUCCGUCGACAGACCUUUGGUCAUGAUAUCAGCGAGCUGUUGGCGAGUGGGGAUGUGAAGAACACGGAACUCGCCGAGCGCCACCCGUUCGCGGACAAAGAGGAUGUCAAGCUCGACGUGCUUCGUGCGGCGGUGAUGUACUGGAUUGGCAGACAGGUACACGGCUGACACAUUGUCGCAGUAGACGAGCGUGGCCUUGUCGACGGGGCAGAAGAGCUCGCCGAGGAGCUGCCGGAGCUAGAUGCAUUCAGCGACGGCGUUGGCGACACCGCGGUACUCGGCCUCUGCACUGGAGCGAGAGACGACGGCCUGGCGUUUGGACGACCAGGAGACAAGCGCGUCACCGAGGUAGAUGCAGAAUCCGGAGGUAGAGCGACGGGUGUCUGGACAGCCCGCCCAGUCCGCGUCCGUGAACGCGCGCAGGUCCAGAGUACGCGAGGCGCGCAGAUGGAGCCCGAGCGCCGGCGUGCCGCGCACGUACCGCAGCACACGCUUGAUCAACCCGAGAUGGCACUCCCGGGGAUCUUGCAUAUGCAAGCAGAUCUGUUGGACGGCGUAGGCAAGCUCGGGCCGUGUGAUCGUUAGGUACUGCAGGGCGCCGGCGAUGCUGCGGUAGGCGGAGGGGUCGUCGACACGAGGCCCAUCGGCGGUGGGCAGCUUGCUCUUCGUGUCGAUCGGCGUGGGCGAUGGCCGACAAGUGUCCAUGCCAGCGCGGUCCAGGAUAUCGGCGGCAUACUGCUGCUGACAGAGGAAGAAGCCGGCCAGCGUGCGCGUGACGCGGAUGCCGAGGAAGAAGUGAAGCACCCCGGGAUCCUUCAUGGCAAACUCAGCGGUAAGCUGGGCGACGACGUGGCGAAGGGCGGCGACAGAUGACGCCGUGAGCACGAUGUCAUCGACGUAGAGAAGAAGAAGGGCAGUGUCGCAGUCGUGGCGUCGAACGAAGAGCGAAGAGUUGGACCGCGUGGCGACGAAGCCGAUGGUCUUGAGGAAGCCAGCAAACCGAAGGAACCACGCGCGCGGCGCUUGCUUCAAGCCGAAGAGGGACUUGGAGAGGCGGCAGACGUGGUGUGGGCGAUCGGCGUCGACGAAGCCAGCGGGCUGAAGGCAGAAGACCUCCUCAUCCAGCGUACCGUGGAGGAAUGCAUUGGAUACAUCAAGCUGAUGAACUGGCCAGCCGCGCGAGGCAGCCAGGGUGAGCACGGUGCGGAUGGUAGCGGGCUUGACGACCGGCGAGAAGGUCUCGCCGUAGUCGACGCCGGCACGCUGGCGAAAUCCUCGCACAACCUAGCGGGCCUUGUAGCGCUCGAGGGAGCCGUCGGCGUUGUACUUGUGCUUGAAGACCCAUUUGCCGGUGAUGAGGUUGGCGCCGGGCGGACGUGGCACGAGCUCCCAGGUGCGGUUGCGCACAAGGGCGGUGAACUCAUCACGCAUGGUGGCGAGCCAGUUGGGGUCGCGGACGGCUACGCCUACGGAGGCAGGGACCGGCGAAACCUCGCCGGACGUGCUUGUAGUGGCGGCGAGGCUGUUGUGGUAGCGCGGAUUGGGGCGGAAGACGCCAGUCUGCACGCGCGUGACCAUCCGCCGGGGCGCUGCAGGAGGAGCGGCCGGAGGAGAAGCCGCGGGCGAGGAAGACGACGAAGAGCGCACUGGGGAGGCAGGCGAGACGCUGGUGGAGCAGGAGGUUGCAGCCGAGCCGUCCAUCGAAGGAUCAACGCCCCCCAGCGACUGCAUGGCGGGGAGGCGGGAGCGCGAGGUCGAGGCAGCGCCCGACAGGUUAGCGCUCCUACGUGACUGCAUGGCGAGGGGGCGUGGGUCCGCGCCCGAGCCGUCCGAUGGAGAUCCAGCGGGCGAGUUUGAACGCGCGGCAUGCGCGCGCGAGGCACUCGACGUGGAGCGCACCGGCGACGAGCCAGCAGCCAUGCGUGGAGAAGAGCACAGCGCGCGAUUACGGAGGCGCCGCUCACCCAUAGGAACCUGCAAAACGGGAGGAGCAAACGCAGGCGGUGGUGGAGCGGCGGGGUUAACUGUGGGUUGUGUGGCGAAGGGGAAGAUCGACUCGUGGAAGCGCACAUGGCGAGACGUGAGCAUGCGGCGCGUCGUGGGGUCGAAACACCGAUAACCGCGAUGGUCAGACGGGUAGCCAAGAAAGAUACACGCGGUGGAGCGAGGAGCAAGUUUGUGUUUGGCCGUGGCAGUGAGGUUUGGAUAGCAUAGGCACCCGAAGACGCGUAGGAGGGAGUAGUCAGGAGCGACACCUAGGAGAAGCUCAUGGGGCGUGCGUGGUGUGCUAGCAUGACAUGGCCGGCGAUUGAGAAGAUAGGUGGCUGUGUUGAGGGCUUCGACCCAAAAACGCGCCGGCAUGGAUGCAUGAAAGAGGAGAGCACGCACACUGUCAUUGAGCGUCCAGAGGAUGCGCUCGGACUUCCCGUUCUGCUGGCUUGUGUAAGGACACGAGAGCCGGAGAUGAGUGCCGUGGCGACUAAGGAGAGACCGAACGGCAGCAUUGUCGAAUUCACGCCCGUUGUCGGUUUGGAGCGAGAAAACAGGAAGCUGAAACUGUGUUUUGACAUAAGCGUAGAAAUCAAGCAAAACAGGGAGCACUUCCGAUUUGUGUUUGAGGGGAAACAUCCACACGUAAUGUGUGUAGUCAUCUAGCACAACCAAAUAAAACUGAUAGCCAGAGAUGCUCGCAACAGGAGAUGUCCAUACAUCAAGAUGCAGUACAUGAAAGGGAAACAUGCUGGUGCUGGUAGAGCUGCUAAAUGGCAGGCGGACGUUCUUGCCCAAACUACAUGCAUGACACGAAUGGGGGGUGGACUUGCUGAAGCUAAGAAGAUCGGCGCCCAGACGGAGCGAAGCGUGCCCGAGCCGCUGAUGCCACAAGGUGGAGUCGACGAAACCGGCGAAGGCCGAACGCGAGGGGAGCGUCGGGCGACCAACAGAGUAGAGAUCACCGUCAGAGUCACAUCGGAGGAUCACCACCUUGGUUCGAAGGUCCUUGACAGAGAAGCCAAAAGCGUCAAAUUCGACAGAAACGGGAUUAUCACGACAAAUGCGGCGUACUGAAAGUAAGUUUGUAAUGAGAAAGGGAGAAACAAGGACGUUGCGGAGUUGGAUAGGUGAUGUGCCCUCGAUGAGAGCACCGUCACCGACGUGGGUGAUCGGUAGGUGAGCUCCACUGCCAACAAUGAUAUGAGAGGGGGAGUGACAUGGACGGAGGGAAUGGAGGUUACCAGGCGAUGAGGACAUGUGAGAGGAGGCCCCGGAGUCGAGGUACCAUUCGGAAGCCAUGCCCGACGAAGAAGGCCCGGCCGUGGCACUGUGGAGCACCGCCUGGAGGGACUGCAUGUCCCAUGGCUGAGGCGACGGCGCGGUGGACGAGCUGGCGCCCGGGGAGCCAUAGCCAUGGAAGGGGCCGCCAGGAUAGCCGUAGCCAGGAGGCGGUCCACCAGGGGCGCCGUAGCCGGGCGGCAUAGGCGCAGCGAACAUGGCCUGCUGGUGAGGCGUGCCGGGGCGCGGUCCGAGGAUGCCGGCGCCCGGAGCGCGCCAGGGCGUGGGCCAGGCCUGGACGAGCCCCGUCUAGGAGUUGGCACCAGGAGCCGGCGCGGGUAGGUAGGUGGACGCGGUGGCGCGCCAGUGGGUGGUGCAGGGGCGUUGCCGUUCCCGCGGCCGCGACGGCGCGAGCGGCCACGGCCACGCGCGGCGUCUGCAAGCGGCGAAGGAGUUGGUGUAGUAGGUGCGGGGGAGCCGCGCCCAGCGUAGAGAGCGUGGGCAGACUGCUGCCGAGCCGCCUGCUCAGCACGAUGCUCCUCCAAAAGAAGGAAGGAGCGCACCUGGAGAAACGUCGGGAGCGGGUUCUGGCAGGUGAUGUGCGGGAUGACGGCGUGGUACUGGCGGUUGAGGCCGCGGAGGAGAUGGAAGACCUGCCGUGGGUCAGUUACCGGCUGGCCCAGAUCACGGAGUUGGUCGGCGAAGGUCUUGAGCUUGGUGCAGAAUUGCAUCACCGUCAUGUCGCCCUGGACGAUGGCGUGGUACUCAGCGUCGACGUACACCGCGCGGGCCAUCUGGUUGUUGCGGAAGAGCUCGUCGACGGCGAGCCACACGGUGCGGGCCGUGUCCUCGGGCUGCAUGAUCGCAUCGAGGAGCUCCGGCGAGAUGGUGGCAUACAGCCAGUGGAUGACGGUGUGGUCGGCCAUCUGCCACUCGGGGUCGGUGGGGCGUGGAACCGCCUCGGCGUCGACGUGCGCACGUAGGGCGAACAUGCCAAGCACCGUGUCGAAGUGGCGCCGCCACUGAGCGUGGUUGCCGGCGAGGAGAUCGAGGAUGACAGGAACAUGGCGACGGAUGUCGACGGUCUGGAGGAUGGCGGAGGGAAAGGAGGGAGGUGGCGCGGCGGGCGCGGCCGGCGCGGGUGGGUCGACGUGCUGGAGAGGAGCGGCGUUGAGGACGCCGGCCGCACCGUCGACAGAGGAACGAGGGGAGAGGACGGGGUUGUCGUCCAUGGCGGAAGCGGAAUCGGCGACCGGAGAAAAAGGGUUCUGGUCGCGGGUAUCUGAUACCAUGUUGAGGAGAGGAGAAAGAUUGGGAUUCAACACACAUCGAUUAUGCUCAGAGGCUGGGUUUAAGUACAGGUUGCUGUCAUCAGCCGAGCCAAGAUCGUGGGUAUGCCACUACCUCAGGACGUGCAUCACUAGCUAUACAACUGCUGCACGAUCCAUAGUAUACCGUAUGGCGAGCUAUACAAGGUGCAUACGGUAUAGAACUACCUAGUCUAACACAGAGGAUACACGGCUAGACUACAGCCAGUGCAAGCUAGCUAUACUAGCAGAAGAGGACGUGAACUCAAGGCUACACACACACGCACUAGUAAGAGUGGAGCUCACUUCUACUGCCUUGUACUGAAGCUCAAAAUGACUUGAGUUUAUUUACAUACGAGGGACUAGGGGUCCUUUUAU
RNAcentral lists this long non-coding RNA (5226 nucleotides) under Triticum aestivum (bread wheat). RNAcentral's name for it is "long non-coding RNA (TAES_LNC011550)". Lineage: Eukaryota; Viridiplantae; Streptophyta; Magnoliopsida; Poales; Poaceae. The record is from RNAcentral.